AAGGCUUUAAGUUAAUAAAACUAAUAACCUUCAAAGCUAUAAAUAAAGAAAUUUCUUUAAGCCUU
This 65-nucleotide transfer RNA is filed under the name Drosophila melanogaster (fruit fly). RNAcentral describes it as "partial tRNA-Trp". The record is from RNAcentral. Lineage: Eukaryota; Metazoa; Arthropoda; Insecta; Diptera; Drosophilidae.